RNAcentral lists this ribosomal RNA (274 nucleotides) under uncultured bacterium. Its description in RNAcentral is "partial 16S ribosomal RNA". It matches the Rfam family "Bacterial small subunit ribosomal RNA", at positions 523 to 796 of the family's 1533-position model. The record is from RNAcentral.
AUACGGAGGCUGCGAGCGUUAAUCGGAAUUACUGGGCGUAAAGCGCGCGUAGGCGGUUUGGUCAGUCGGAUGUGAAAGCCCCAGGCUCAACCUGGGAAUGGCAUUCGAUACUGCCUGACUAGAGUAUGGUAGAGGGAAGUGGAAUUUCCGGUGUAGCGGUGAAAUGCGUAGAUAUCGGAAGGAACACCAGUGGCGAAGGCGACUUCCUGGGCCAAUACUGACGCUAAGGUGCGAAAGCGUGGGGAGCAAACAGGAUUAGAACCCCCAGUAGUCC